RNAcentral lists this ribosomal RNA (119 nucleotides) under Anolis carolinensis (green anole). The record is from RNAcentral. Lineage: Eukaryota; Metazoa; Chordata; Lepidosauria; Squamata; Anolidae.
UAAUGAGGUCUAAAUAUCCUGAAGGCACUAGAUCCCAUCUGAUCCCAGAAGCUAACUAGAGUGAAACUUGGUUAGUACUUGGAUAGGGGACCACCAAGAAAUUGCAAGUGCUGUAGGCU